RNAcentral lists this ribosomal RNA (119 nucleotides) under Bacillus fungorum. RNAcentral's name for it is "Bacillus sp. 100374 partial 16S ribosomal RNA". It matches the Rfam family "Bacterial small subunit ribosomal RNA", at positions 1425 to 1533 of the family's 1533-position model. Lineage: Bacteria; Bacillati; Bacillota; Bacilli; Caryophanales; Bacillaceae. The record is from RNAcentral.
AGUCGGUGGGGUAACCUUUAUGGAGCCAGCCGCCUAAGGUGGGACAGAUGAUUGGGGUGAAGUCGUAACAAGGUAGCCGUAUCGGAAGGUGCGGCUGGAUCACCUCCUUUCUAUGGAGA